CGGUACGUUACGCACAAAUUCCGUUGCGCAAUCUCUUCUCGAUGCGAUAUGUUUCUUUGCAAUCUUCGAAAGGCGCAUUAAACUUAUCUACUAACAUCGCUAGUCCAUUUUAAACACGCCAUGACGGAUUACAAAUAUGCGUUUUUUGUUCCUGGAACGAAAGCCGUGUGACACGGAAACGUGUUAUAAAUUUUUUUCCGGAUUUUUCCAGAUGCUCUUAUGCAAAUUUCUAACGAGGUCGACCCAGUUAUAUUUCCAUAUCUGGCAGUAAUCCGGACACGCUCUGUGCGUGUCAACAAGGCGGACACGGCGCUCGAAGUCUGUGCCAAGAAUCUCUGCUGCUAGAGAAUGGAACAAGGAGCGAAGGCGAAAGAAAUCAGUGCAAAAAAAGGCCUGAACAUGACGUUAAUAGACGACUGUAGGACCAUCUCUCUUUUCAUCGAUCUUGCACUUUCACUCUCCCAAGAGAGUGAAUGCAUGCGCCAUUCUCAGCUCCUUAAACUGUCCGAUUUACGCGAACGUCUCUCUCACUCUCUCUCUUUCUCUUACUAAUUGACGUAGGCGGGAGUAAAUGGACGUGGUCUAACACCUUCUCCCUGCGGAUUAACAGCGUUAAAAAAUAAAUUAAAUUUUAACACCACGAAGAGCAGUUCCGAUUCGC
Molecule: long non-coding RNA, 661 nt
Filed under: Androctonus crassicauda
Lineage: Eukaryota; Metazoa; Arthropoda; Arachnida; Scorpiones; Buthidae
Source: RNAcentral